This 194-nucleotide ribosomal RNA is filed under the name uncultured bacterium. RNAcentral describes it as "partial 16S ribosomal RNA". It matches the Rfam family "Bacterial small subunit ribosomal RNA", at positions 338 to 524 of the family's 1533-position model. The record is from RNAcentral.
CCUACGGGAGGCAGCAGUCGGGAAUUUUGCGCAAUGGCCGCAAGGCUGACGCAGCAACGCCGCGUGAGUGAAGAAGGCCUUCGGGUUGUAAAGCUCUGUUGCCCGUGACGAACGGCGCUAUCAGGAAAUGGGUAGCGUUUGACGGUAGCGGGAGAGGAAGCCCCGGCUAACUACGUGCCAGCAGCCGCGGUAAU